Molecule: ribosomal RNA, 460 nt
Filed under: uncultured bacterium
Lineage: Bacteria
Description: partial 16S ribosomal RNA
Rfam family: Bacterial small subunit ribosomal RNA
Source: RNAcentral
CCUACGGGAGGCAGCAGUGAGGAAUAUUGGUCAAUGGACGAGAGUCUGAACCAGCCAAGUAGCGUGAAGGAUGACUGCCCUAUGGGUUGUAAACUUCUUUUAUAUGGGAAUAAAACGUUCCACGUGUGGGAUUUUGUAUGUACCAUAUGAAUAAGGAUCGGCUAACUCCGUGCCAGCAGCCGCGGUAAUACGGAGGAUCCGAGCGUUAUCCGGAUUUAUUGGGUUUAAAGGGAGCGUAGGUGGAUUGUUAAGUCAGUUGUGAAAGUUUGCGGCUCAACCGUAAAAUUGCAGUUGAAACUGGCAGUCUUGAGUGCAGUAGAGGUGGGCGGAAUGCGUGGUGUAGCGGUGAAAUGCUUAGAUAUCACGAAGAACUCCGAUUGCGAAGGCAGUUCACUGGACUGCAACUGACACUGAGGCUCGAAAGUGUGGGUAUCAAACAGGAUUAGAUACCCUUGUAGUC